GAUUUCCCAUAGCGCCAAGCUAGUAAGACCCCUUGCAGAUGACAAGGUUGAUAGGUCUGAGGUGGAAGCGUGGUGACACGUGGAGCUGACAGAUACUAAUCGGUCGAGGGCUUAUCCAA
RNAcentral lists this ribosomal RNA (119 nucleotides) under Alteribacillus persepolensis. RNAcentral describes it as "Bacillus sp. HS-136 Bacterial large subunit ribosomal RNA". It matches the Rfam family "Bacterial large subunit ribosomal RNA", at positions 2808 to 2925 of the family's 2925-position model. The record is from Rfam by way of RNAcentral. Lineage: Bacteria; Bacillati; Bacillota; Bacilli; Caryophanales; Bacillaceae.